RNAcentral lists this microRNA (19 nucleotides) under Equus caballus (horse). RNAcentral's name for it is "eca-miR-632". Its record names the gene eca-miR-632. The record is from miRBase by way of RNAcentral. Lineage: Eukaryota; Metazoa; Chordata; Mammalia; Perissodactyla; Equidae.
GUGCCUGUUUCCUGUGGGA